This 154-nucleotide ribosomal RNA is filed under the name Pseudomonas sp. NB101. RNAcentral describes it as "partial 16S ribosomal RNA". It matches the Rfam family "Bacterial small subunit ribosomal RNA", at positions 337 to 486 of the family's 1533-position model. RNAcentral also lists the same sequence under 1 other name. The record is from RNAcentral. Lineage: Bacteria; Pseudomonadati; Pseudomonadota; Gammaproteobacteria; Pseudomonadales; Pseudomonadaceae.
UCCUACGGGAGGCAGCAGUGGGGAAUAUUGGACAAUGGGCGAAAGCCUGAUCCAGCCAUGCCGCGUGUGUGAAGAAGGUCUUCGGAUUGUAAAGCACUUUAAGUUGGGAGGAAGGGCAGUUACCUAAUACGUGAUUGUUGACGUACCGACAGAA